CACGUGGGUAACGUACCCCGAUCACCGGGACAACCCGAGGAAACUCGGCCUAAUACCGGAUGUGUCCGUGAAUCAUGAGGUUCACGUGCAAAGGAAGCUUCGGCCUCCGGAUCGGGAGCGGCCCGCGGCCCAUUAGUUUGUUGGUGGGGUAAUGGCCUACCAAGACCGCGAUGGGUAGCUGGUCUGAGAGGACGAUCAGCCACACUGGGACUGAGACACGGCCCAGACUCCUACGGGAGGCAGCAGUGGGGAAUCUUGCGCAAUGCGCGAAAGCGUGACGCAGCAACACCGCGUGAGGGA
Molecule: ribosomal RNA, 300 nt
Filed under: uncultured Solirubrobacterales bacterium
Lineage: Bacteria; Bacillati; Actinomycetota; Thermoleophilia; Solirubrobacterales
Description: bacterial SSU rRNA
Rfam family: Bacterial small subunit ribosomal RNA
Source: RNAcentral